RNAcentral lists this ribosomal RNA (801 nucleotides) under uncultured bacterium. RNAcentral describes it as "bacterial SSU rRNA". It matches the Rfam family "Bacterial small subunit ribosomal RNA", at positions 1 to 804 of the family's 1533-position model. The record is from RNAcentral.
UAGAGUUUGAUCCUGGCUCAGGAUGAACGCUAGCUACAGGCUUAACACAUGCAAGUCGAGGGGCAUCGCGGUGCAGCAAUGCACUGGCGGCGACCGGCGCACGGGUGAGUAACGCGUAUCCGACCUGGCCUUCACUCGGGUAUAGCCCCUCGAAAGAGGGAUUAAUCCCCGAUAUGUGGGAGAGUUACAUGGCGCUCCCACGAAAGCGUAACGGUGAAGGAUGGGGAUGCGUCCCAUUAGGUUGUUGGCGGGGUAACGGCCCACCAAGCCGACGAUGGGUAGGGGUACUGAGAGGUAGGUCCCCCACAUUGGAACUGAGACACGGUCCAAACUCCUACGGGAGGCAGCAGUGAGGAAUAUUGGUCAAUGGGCGAGAGCCUGAACCAGCCAAGUAGCGUGAAGGAAGACUGCCCUAUGGGUUGUAAACUUCUUUUGUGCGGGGGUAAAGUGGUCCACGCGUGGUCCAUUGCAAGUACCGUACGAAUAAGCAUCGGCUAACUCCGUGCCAGCAGCCGCGGUAAUACGGAGGAUGCGAGCGUUAUCCGGAUUUAUUGGGUUUAAAGGGAGCGUAGGCGGGCGAUUAAGUCAGCGGUUAAAUAGUGUGGCUCAACCAUGCCUUGCCGUUGAUACUGGUUGUCUUGAGAGUACUAGAGGUGGAUGGAAUUUAGGGUGUAGCGGUGAAAUGCUUAGAUAUCCUAAAGAACUCCGAUUGCGAAGGCAGUCCACUGGGGUACGUCUGACGCUGAAGCUCGAAAGUGCGGGUAUCAAACAGGAUUAGAUACCCUGGUAGUCCGCACAGUA